RNAcentral lists this ribosomal RNA (253 nucleotides) under uncultured bacterium. Its description in RNAcentral is "partial 16S ribosomal RNA". It matches the Rfam family "Bacterial small subunit ribosomal RNA", at positions 524 to 776 of the family's 1533-position model. The record is from RNAcentral.
UACGUAGGCAGCAAGCGUUGUUCGGAGUUACUGGGCGUAAAGGGUGCGUAGGUGGCUCUAUAAGUAUGGUGUGAAAUCUCCCGGCUUAACUGGGAGGGUGCGCCGUAGACUGUGGGGCUAGAGUGUGGGAGAGGAAAGUGGAAUUCCGGGUGUAGCGGUGGAAUGCGUAGAGAUCCGGAAGAACACCGGUGGCGAAGGCGGCCUGCUGGGCAGUUGCUGACACUGAGGCGCGACAGCGUGGGGAGCAAACAGG